RNAcentral lists this transfer RNA (74 nucleotides) under Fukomys damarensis (Damara mole-rat). It matches the Rfam family "tRNA". Rfam says of the family: Transfer RNA (tRNA) molecules are approximately 80 nucleotides in length. Their secondary structure includes four short double-helical elements and three loops (D, anti-codon, and T loops). Lineage: Eukaryota; Metazoa; Chordata; Mammalia; Rodentia; Bathyergidae. The record is from Rfam by way of RNAcentral.
GGGGAUGUAGCUCAAUGGUAAGAGCACUUGCCUAGCAUUUAUAAGAUCCUGGGUUUGAUCUCCCAGUGCCACCA